Molecule: ribosomal RNA, 253 nt
Filed under: uncultured bacterium
Lineage: Bacteria
Description: partial 16S ribosomal RNA
Rfam family: Bacterial small subunit ribosomal RNA
Source: RNAcentral
UACGAAGGGGGCUAGCGUUGCUCGGAAUUACUGGGCGUAAAGCGCACGUAGGCGGCGCCGUAAGUCAGGGGUGAAAUCCCGGAGCUCAACUCCGGAACUGCCCUUGAAACUGCAGUGCUAGAAUCUUGGAGAGGCGAGUGGAAUUCCGAGUGUAGAGGUGAAAUUCGUAGAUAUUCGGAAGAACACCAGUGGCGAAGGCGACUCGCUGGACAAGUAUUGACGCUGAGGUGCGAAAGCGUGGGGAGCAAACAGG